UAUCUGUGUGUAUUGACGCUAAUUGCUAGUUCACAUAGGCUGCGUAAGGGUUGCGUAAGCGUAGACGUAGCGCAUACCAUUGCAUUGUAAUGUGUGGAACUGUAUGAAACAUGGCACACCGCUUGCGUAAAGCGUGGAGGUAUGCGUAACCCGGUGUGUUAAGGGUU
Maniola jurtina (meadow brown) is the source of this 167-nucleotide long non-coding RNA. RefSeq lists it as uncharacterized. NCBI's taxonomy places the organism in Eukaryota, Metazoa, Arthropoda, Insecta, Lepidoptera, Nymphalidae. The transcript has 3 exons. The record is from RefSeq and is a predicted model, not a curated record.